RNAcentral lists this long non-coding RNA (521 nucleotides) under Chinchilla lanigera (long-tailed chinchilla). RNAcentral's name for it is "lncRNA (ENSCLAG00000026473.1)". The record is from RNAcentral. Lineage: Eukaryota; Metazoa; Chordata; Mammalia; Rodentia; Chinchillidae.
ACCUUAACCGCCUCAGGUGCCACUCUCGGAACUGGUGUGUUCAGAGCGGCCGCUCCCAGGGCCCCUCUGGAGGCCUGAGUGCGCUGCUGAGUGCUAAGGAGUCGCAGCUAUCCAGCGAGCUUCUGGGGAAAUGUAGGGGUGAAGCGGGUGGCGACAGGUGCUAGCAGGCAGAAGCCAGUGGGCGCCUCAAAGGCCGAAGAGCGAACUUACAAGCGGACUUGGGGAAGUCGCUUCCAAGUCUCCCGGGGCGCGCAGCAGGCACCCCGCGGCUCCGAGCAGAGGCUCUGGGACUGUGGCUGCGACCUCCAGCGCAGCGUGCAACUGAGCUCCGGGCCGGAGGAGCAGCGCUUCCCGGGGGCAGCUCCCUUCCCCUAACCGGGUAUCUCUGCGGCCGGAGGUGCCCCUGGCAGGCGAAGAGACUGAGGCGACGAGUGAUGAUAUUGAAGAAAAAAACUGAAAGUGGAUUAACUCUAUUUGAAAGGGGUCAACCGUUAAUUGCACAAGAAAAAGAAAAAGAGUAG